UACGUAGGGGCAAGCGUUGUCCGGAAUGAUUGGGCGUAAAGGGCGCGUAGGCGGCUAUGUAAGUCUGAAGUGAAAGUCCUGGCUUCAAGUUGGGAAUUGCUUUGGAUACUGUAUGGCUUGAGUGCAGGAGAGGUAAGUGGAAUUCCCAGUGUAGCGGUGAAAUGCGUAGAGAUUGGGAGGAACACCAGUGGCGAAGGCGACUUACUGGACUGUAACUGACGCUGAGGCGCGAAAGUGUGGGGAGCAAACAGGAUUAGAUACCCGGGUAGU
RNAcentral lists this ribosomal RNA (270 nucleotides) under uncultured prokaryote. Its description in RNAcentral is "partial 16S ribosomal RNA". It matches the Rfam family "Bacterial small subunit ribosomal RNA", at positions 524 to 794 of the family's 1533-position model. The record is from RNAcentral.